GACGAACGCUGGCGGCGUGCUUAACACAUGCAAGUCGAACGGAAAGGCCCUGCUUUUGUGGGGUGCUCGAGUGGCGAACGGGUGUGUAACACGUGAGUAACCUGCCCUUGACUUUGGGAUAACUUCAGGCAACUGGUGCUACUACCGGAUAGGAGCUCCUGCUGCAUGGUGGGGGUUGGAAAGUUUCGGCGGUUGGGGAUGGACUCGCGGCUUAUCAGCUUGUUGGUGGGGUAGUGGCUUACCAAGGCUUUGGCGGGUAGCCGGCCUGAGAGGGUGACCGGCCACAUUGGGACUGAGAGACGGCCCAGACUCCUACGGGAGGCAGCAGUGGGGAGUAUUGCACAAUGGGCGGAAGCCUGAGGCAGCAACGCUGCGUGCGGGAUGACGGCCUUCGGGUGGUAAACCGCUUUCGCCUGUGACGAAGCGGGAGUGACGGUAAUGGGAAAAGAAGCACCGGCUAACUACGUG
This 468-nucleotide ribosomal RNA is filed under the name uncultured bacterium. RNAcentral's name for it is "partial 16S ribosomal RNA". It matches the Rfam family "Bacterial small subunit ribosomal RNA", at positions 28 to 507 of the family's 1533-position model. The record is from RNAcentral.